GAUGAACGCUAGCGGCAGGCCUAACACAUGCAAGUCGAGGGGUAGCAGGAUUAAGCUUGCUUAAUUGCUGACGACCGGCGCACGGGUGCGUAACGCGUAUGCAACCUACCUUAUACUGGGGUAUAGCCCGGAGAAAUUCGGAUUAAUCCCCCAUAGUACUAAUGAAUCGCAUGGUUUAUUAGUUAAAGCAUUGCGGUAUAAGAUGGGCAUGCGUCCUAUUAGCUAGAUGGUGAGGUAACGGCUCACCAUGGCUACGAUAGGUAGGGGGCCUGAGAGGGUGGUCCCCCACACUGGUACUGAGACACGGACCAGACUCCUACGGGAGGCAGCAGUGAGGAAUAUUGGGCAAUGGAGGCAACUCUGACCCAGCCAUGCCGCGUGCAGGAAGACGGUCCUCUGGAUUGUAAACUGCUUUUGAAUGGGAAGAAUGUGCUUCUUGCGAGGAGUAAUGACGGUACCAUUAGAAUAAGCCACGGCUAACUACGUGCCAGCAGCCGCGGUAA
RNAcentral lists this ribosomal RNA (503 nucleotides) under uncultured bacterium. RNAcentral describes it as "partial 16S ribosomal RNA". It matches the Rfam family "Bacterial small subunit ribosomal RNA", at positions 28 to 523 of the family's 1533-position model. The record is from RNAcentral.